GUAGUGUUGUCUCUCUUUAUGUAGUGUUGUGGUGUCUCUCUUUAUGUAGUGUUGUGUUGUCUCUCUUUAUGUAGUGUUGUGUGUUGUGUUGUCUCUCUUUAUGUAGUGUUGUGGUGUCUCUCUUUAUGUAGUGGUGUCUCUCUUUAUGUAGUGUUGUGUUGUCUCUCUUUAUGUAGUGUUGUCUCUCUUUAUGUAGUGUUGUGUUGUCUCUCUUUAUGUAGUGUUGUGGUGUCUCUCUUUAUGUAGUGUUGUGGUGUCUCUCUUUAUGUAGUGUUGUGUUGUCUCUUUAUGUUGUGUUGUCUCUCUUUAUGUUGUGUUGUGGUGUCUCUCUUUAUGUAGUGUUGUGGUGACUCUCUUUAUGUAGUGUUGUGGUGUCUCUUUAUGUAGUGUUGUCUCUCUUUAUGUAGUGUUGUGGUGUCUCUUUAUGUAGUGUUGUCUCUCUUUAUGUAGUGUUGUGGUGUCUCUCUUUCUGUACUGUUGUGUUGUCUCUCCUGUCGUGUUUUGUCCUAUUUACAUAUAUAUUGUAUUUAUUUUUAAUCCCAGCCCCCGUCCCCCGC
Molecule: long non-coding RNA, 557 nt
Organism: Oncorhynchus tshawytscha (Chinook salmon)
Lineage: Eukaryota; Metazoa; Chordata; Actinopteri; Salmoniformes; Salmonidae
Source: Ensembl